CGGUGGAGCAUGUGUUUAAUUCGAAGCAACGCGAAGAACCUUACCAGGUCUUGACAUCCCUGACACCCGAGAGAUCGGGCGUUCCCCUUCGGGGGACAGGGUGACAGGUGGUGCAUGGUUGUCGUCAGCUCGUGUCGUGAGAUGUUGGGUUAAGUCCCGCAACGAGCGCAACCCUCGACCUUAGUUGCCAGCAUUCAGUUGGGCACUCUAAGGUGACUGCCGGCUAAAAGUCGGAGGAAGGUGGGGAUGACGUCAAAUCAUCAUGCCCCUUAUGACCUGGGCUACACACGUGCUACAAUGGGCGGUACAAAGGGUCGCGAACCCGCGAGGGGGAGCCAAUCCCAAAAAGCCGCUCUCAGUUCGGAUUGCAGGCUGCAACUCGCCUGCAUGAAGCCGGAAUCGCUAGUAAUCGCGGAUCAGCAUGCCGCGGUGAAUACGUUCCCGGGCCUU
RNAcentral lists this ribosomal RNA (450 nucleotides) under uncultured Anoxybacillus sp. RNAcentral describes it as "bacterial SSU rRNA". It matches the Rfam family "Bacterial small subunit ribosomal RNA", at positions 930 to 1382 of the family's 1533-position model. The record is from RNAcentral. Lineage: Bacteria; Bacillati; Bacillota; Bacilli; Caryophanales; Anoxybacillaceae.